Molecule: long non-coding RNA, 1375 nt
Organism: Paramacrobiotus metropolitanus
Lineage: Eukaryota; Metazoa; Tardigrada; Eutardigrada; Parachela; Macrobiotidae
Exons: 3
Source: RefSeq, a predicted model, not a curated record
GCUUACAGCUAUCUUGCAGUCAAUGAAACUAGCUAUUCCAGCAUGUCUAAUUCAUCGCGCCGUACCGCCUUGCAUCGUAUUCAUAACGAGCGUUUUGAUCCGGACAAAAAGAGCGAUGGAAUUAGCUCUGCGUGUCCUUUCGAGAAACUACUGCAAGGGGAUCCUGCUGGAGAAUUAUUGCAGCAUCUGCAAGGAGUUGGUCUGGAAGCAGUUUGCAACGCGCUUGAUAUUGCCCGGAAUAUUGCUGCUCUGAAAAAAUGGUGGCAUCUCAUCCCAUCCCACGCGAGAAAACACAUUUUUCGUUGCUGAAUCCACGUCGAACAAGUCUUAUGUUCAGGUCGACGCAGUCACGACUAACGGACGUAUUGGGUGUGGCAAAACUUGCCAGAUGUUUCGUAUGCAAGGAUUCUGUGAGCAUACGUUUUGCGUCGCCAUGCCAUGCAUUUGAAUGUUAUGCCAAAGUUCGUUGAGUGGUUCAACAAACGCAGCGAUACCGAGAAGGGCCGGCAUGGGCUGCAGUCUUAUAUGAAAUCUGGUGUACCCAAGGGAGCUGGGUCGAAACCGCGUAAAGGUCCACAGAAACGAAAGCCACCCGUUACCACCCUUUCUUCAAAGUCUGCAGUGAGUGGUAACAAACCUAACGAUCUCCGUCAAGCUUCAACUUCGCGCACCGAAAAGAAACCACUGGAGUUUGGAUGCAAAUUCGUACGUUAAAUCAUGCAUCCAAACCGUCUCCCAUUCCAAGCCAGUAUGAAAUCUGGAAACUAGUUGAUUGCCACAAACAAGUGAGUUCUUGCUGUGGAUGCGGCGGAAAGUUUGCUCGCGACAGAGAUGCUCCGGAUGAUCUGGUAUUUGUUACGCGUGGACCACGUUCGUUCAAAAACCCAGAAACCCACCAGUUUGAAGAGCAACAGAGAAAUGUAUACCUUCACGUUAACAAGGCUUGCGUUAACCUAUAUGCCUCAAAACAUCCAGGGUCAGAGCCAAAAGAAUAUUUGGUCAGCCCUAGCACAAAGGCUAAGCUAGGAUCGGUAUAUGCAAAAGUUUUGGAAAGUGCCAUCACUUUUUAGCUGCACUAUGGUAGCCAUUAGUAGGGAAAUAUUUGUCAUCUUUUCAAUAAUUUUUUGAUCGAGUUGUGCUUCAUUUUGUAAUAAUUCGGCAUUGCGGUUAGCGCACUAUUAUUAUUUGAUACUGGUUGUGGGGAAGCUUCUAUAAACUGAAAUCAUAACCAGCAAAUUUUUUCAUAUCAUCCUCUUGUGGUUUUGAUCGCGCGAUUACAUAUUUUUGUAUUAAUAAUGCAACUUAUGGCAUGAAUGUUUAGUUAAAAGUGCGGCUUCAUGGCUUUGUUUUCUUUAGGUAAUCGUUGUUUGCUGGC